ACAGGUGAAGAAAGGGCCGGGCAAGACCGGUGCCAGCCGCCGCGGUAAUACCGGCGGCUCGAGUGGUGGCCACUAUUACUGGGCUUAAAGCGUUCGUAGCUGGUCUGUUAAGUCUCUGGGGAAAUCUACUGGCUUAACCAAUAGGCGUCUCAGGGAUACUGGCAGACUAGGGACCGGGAGAGGUGAGAGGUACUCCAGGGGUAGGAGUGAAAUCCUGUAAUCCUUGGGGGACCACCUGUGGCGAAGGCGUCUCACCAGAACGGCUCCGACAGUGAGGGACGAAAGCUGGGGGAGCAAACCGGAUUAGAUACCCGGGUAGUCCCAGCCGUAAACGAUGCGCGUUAGGUGUAUCGGUGACCACGAGUCACCGAGGUGCCGAAGAGAAAUCGUGAAACGUGCCGCCUGGGAAGUACGGUCGCAAGGCUGAAACUUAAAGGAAUUGGCGGGGGAGCAC
This 454-nucleotide ribosomal RNA is filed under the name uncultured archaeon. Its description in RNAcentral is "bacterial SSU rRNA". It matches the Rfam family "Archaeal small subunit ribosomal RNA", at positions 426 to 879 of the family's 1478-position model. The record is from RNAcentral.